GAUGAAGAACGCAACGAAAUGCGAUAAGUAGUGUGAAUUGCAGAAUUCAGUGAAUCAUCGAAUCUUUGAACGCACAUUGCGCCCCUUGGUAUUCCAUGGGGCAUGCCUGUUCGAGCGUCAUUUGUACCUUCAAGCUUUGCUUGGUGUUGGGUGUUUGUCCCGAGGGACUCGCCUUAAAGUAAUUGGCAGCCAGUGUUUGGUUUUGAAGCGCAGCACAAGUCGCGAUUCAAGGCUACACGCCCGCUUCCACAAGCCUUUUUUCACUUUUGACCUCGGAUCAGGUAGGGAUACCCGCUGAACUUAAGCAUAUCAAUAAGCGGAGGA
RNAcentral lists this unclassified non-coding RNA (324 nucleotides) under soil metagenome. RNAcentral describes it as "partial contains 5.8S ribosomal RNA, internal transcribed spacer 2, and large subunit ribosomal RNA". The stretch from base 1 to 120 matches the Rfam family "5.8S ribosomal RNA", at positions 35 to 154 of the family's 154-position model. The record is from RNAcentral.